GCAGUGGUGGUUCAGCAGUAGAACUCUCGUUUUCCACGUGGGAGACCUGGGUUCAAUUCCCAGUCAGUGCA
RNAcentral lists this transfer RNA (71 nucleotides) under Loxodonta africana (African savanna elephant). It matches the Rfam family "tRNA". From Rfam's summary of the family: Transfer RNA (tRNA) molecules are approximately 80 nucleotides in length. Their secondary structure includes four short double-helical elements and three loops (D, anti-codon, and T loops). Further hydrogen bonds mediate the characteristic L-shaped molecular structure. tRNAs have two regions of fundamental functional importance: the anti-codon, which is responsible for specific mRNA codon recognition, and the 3' end, to which the tRNAs corresponding amino acid is attached (by aminoacyl-tRNA synthetases). tRNAs cope with the degeneracy of the genetic code in two manners: having more than one tRNA (with a specific anti-codon) for a particular amino acid; and 'wobble' base-pairing, i.e. permitting non-standard base-pairing at the 3rd anti-codon position. Lineage: Eukaryota; Metazoa; Chordata; Mammalia; Proboscidea; Elephantidae. The record is from Rfam by way of RNAcentral.